GUACGUAGGGGCUAGCGUUAUCCGGAAUUACUGGGCGUAAAGGGUGCGUAGGUGGUUUCUUAAGUCAGAGGUGAAAGGCUACGGCUCAACCGUAGUAAGCCUUUGAAACUGGGAAACUUGAGUGCAGGAGAGGAGAGUGGAAUUCCUAGUGUAGCGGUGAAAUGCGUAGAUAUUAGGAGGAACACCGAUGGCGAAGGCAGCCCCUGGGCCUGUACUGACGCUCAUGCACGAAAGCGUGGGGAGCAAACAGGAUUAGAUACCCGUGUAGUCCCUGAG
This 276-nucleotide ribosomal RNA is filed under the name uncultured prokaryote. RNAcentral describes it as "partial 16S ribosomal RNA". It matches the Rfam family "Bacterial small subunit ribosomal RNA", at positions 523 to 801 of the family's 1533-position model. The record is from RNAcentral.